UACGUAGGGUGCGAGCGUUGUCCGGAAUUAUUGGGCGUAAAGGGCUCGUAGGCGGUUUGUCGCGUCGGGAGUGAAAACACCGGGCUUAACUCGGUGCUUGCUUUCGAUACGAGCAGACUAGAGGCAUGCAGGGGAGAACGGAAUUCCUGGUGUAGCGGUGAAAUGCGCAGAUAUCAGGAGGAACACCGGUGGCGAAGGCGGUUCUCUGGGCAUGUCCUGACGCUGAGGAGCGAAAGUGUGGGGAGCGAACAGG
RNAcentral lists this ribosomal RNA (253 nucleotides) under uncultured bacterium. Its description in RNAcentral is "partial 16S ribosomal RNA". It matches the Rfam family "Bacterial small subunit ribosomal RNA", at positions 524 to 776 of the family's 1533-position model. The record is from RNAcentral.